Molecule: ribosomal RNA, 767 nt
Filed under: Funneliformis mosseae
Lineage: Eukaryota; Fungi; Glomeromycota; Glomeromycetes; Glomerales; Glomeraceae
Description: eukaryotic LSU rRNA
Rfam family: Eukaryotic large subunit ribosomal RNA
Source: RNAcentral
GCAUAUCAAUAAGCGGAGGAAAAGAAAAUAACAAUGAUUCCCUCAGUAACGGCGAGCGAAGAGGGAUAAGCUCAAAUUUUAAAUCUGUUGGGUUCCACUCGACAGAGUUGUAUUUUGAAGAAACGUUUUCUGCGUCCAGGAUUAGCCUAAAUCCUUUGGGAUAAGGUAUCAUGGAGGGUGAGAAUCCCGUUCAUGGUUAAUCUUAAGGAAGCUCUACGAUACGUUUUCCAAGAGUCGAGUUGUUUGGGAUUGCAGCUCAAAAUGGGAGGUAAAUUUCUCCUAAGGCUAAAUAUUGGCGAGAGACCGAUAGCGAACAAGUACCGUGAGGGAAAGAUGAAAAGAACUUUGAAAAGAGAGUUAAACAGUACGUGAAAUUGUUGAAAGGGAAACGAUUGAAGUCAGUCAUACCAACGGGAAAUCAACCUUUUGAGCUCGGUCUCGUGGGUUUUGAAGAGUUUCAAAGCCUUCGGAUUCGCGGGAUUGGGAUCUCUUGGUGUACUUUUUCGUACGGUUAGUCAACAUCGGUUUUGAAUGUCAUAAAAUGACUGGAGGAAUGUAGCUUCGAUCUCGUAUUGAAGUGUUAUAGCCUUUGGUAGAUGUGAUGUUUGAGACCGAGGAUUGCAACGGAUACCCUUCAGGGCUAUUCGUCUGAUCUCUGAUACGUUGCCUUGAUGUUGAAAGCUUGCUUAUGAUGUUAGGGUAUUACGGUCAAAAGGUUAGAACGAAUUACAUUCGUUAAGGAUGUUGACGUAAUGGCUUUAAACGAC